AUUUACCCGAUGCCUGUACCCCCAUUGUAUCUAGGAAGUAACUAACUCGCUUUUGACUUUACAGGCUCAUAGGCGGAAGGGACUUGCAUUGUCUCAGAUGAGACUUUGGACUGUAGACUUUUGGGUUAAUGCUGAAAUGAGCUGCCUUGUAAGAAGUGCCUUUCACCCUCUACCAUGAUUCUGAGACCUUCCCCAGCCACGUGGAACUGUAAGUCCAACUAAACCUCUUUCUUUUGUAAAUUGCCCAGUCUUGGGCAUGUCUUUAUCAGCAGCAAAUGGACUAAUAAACCAUCCCUCAACCAACAUGAGGCCACAGCCUUUGCAUCUCAAAAUCACCAAGCCCAGCCUCCAGUUAUCAAAACUGAUUAAUCAGACAAGGAAGAUCAUAAGCUCCACACUCUUCCUCCAUAUUAUGGGACUACCACAGGAAACAUUGCCUGGUUCGGGUCACACGAGCAUGCCUUUGCCCCAAUUUUGACAUAAGAGCACCUAUGAUUUUCUUCUUCUGUCCUGACUCUCAGAUCUUUUCUUUGGACGGUGGUGCUGACUCCAUUCCCUCCUCCCAUUGGUCGAAUGUGACUCAGGCUGGACCAAUCAGAGCCUUGCAUUCCCCUGGCCAUAGUGAUUGGUUCCAGAUCAAGCCACACCUAAAUCCACGCCCUAAACUCUUCUGUCACUUGAGCUUGUACAUGUCCUCUUUGCUUAAGCAGUUUUGGGUUAGGUUUGCUGUCGCGUGCAACCGUAACAGCGCUGAAGAUUUAUCCACAGAGCCUGGUACCUGUGAGAGUGUGCCCGUAUAAGGCCAGCUGCCAAGAAGACGCGAGCCUAGCAUCCAGCCUUGAGUUUGUAUGCAACUGCGUUGACUGGAGACUUCUGAGGAGAGAAGAGGCCUCUAGGAGACAGGCUAGGGUGGGAAGCGUCAAGACAGGGAUGUACAGAUGAAAAAAGACCAGAGGAUAUCAAAUCUCACCACAAGGUGGGAGCAUGCGUCCAGUCAAUCGAGAGUUCCUCUGUGCUGCGCAACAAGAGCACUUGGAGAGAAAUCGUCAACAUAGGGCGCCUCUGGCUUUCCAUCCUUCCAUAUCCGUCUAAAUAACUCACAUGCUAGGAAGACCAGCCAUCAAGCCAGACAAGGAAGUGGGACUUCAAAUUUCCCCUACCUAGCCUCAACUGUUCUCUGUUUAUGAUGGACACAUUAAUAUUCUUCCAAAAUAUCAGCAUCAUUUUGAAACUGGCUACAAAAUACUUUAAAAGGAAAGAUUCCACAUGUUCCAGAAAUAAAGUGCUUGAAAUACUUUUGAUGAUGAGGAUAAAACCCAGUGUUUUAAGAGGAAGUCAGCUAAGGCUGGAGAUCUGGAACCCUCUGGCUUACUGAUAUUUAUUGAUCAACUACUGUAUGCCCAAACAUGUUGUGUAAUAGUUGAUCAGUAACUACUAAGUGUAAACAAACUUUGACACUCCUUACCACAAAUAGGCUUUAAUAAUAAUAAACUAGUGAAGUUGGUUGGGCACAGUGGCUCACGCCUGUAAUCCCAGCACUUUGGGAGGCCGAGGAGGGUGGAUCACAAGGUUAGGAGUUCAAGACCAGCCUGGACAGGUCUUUUGUAUUUUUUGUAAAAUACAAAAAAUUAGCCAGGUAUGGUGGUGGGCACCUGUAAUCCCAGCUACUCGGGAGGCUGAGGCAGAGAACUGCCUGAACCCAGGAGGCAGAAGUUGCAGUGAGCCGAGAUCAUGCCACUGCACUCCAGCCUGGGCGACAGAGCGAGACUCCAUCUCAAAAUAAAAAUAAAAGUAAAUUCAUAAAGUCCUUUUUUUAUAUAGAUUUUUCCCACGUGUUUGGGAAGACAAAAUGAACAUUUGAAACAUGAAGCAGUAAAGUGCUCAAAUUUGGUAUUUUGAACAGUUAAAAGUUAAGGUAACAGUAGUAUGCUGUUGAAGUAUGCUGAAUGAAGAAGAGAGCAAGCAGCUUGGAGAAAGAAAAUCAGAGUCUUCUGCUUCGGGUCUUAGUCACUUUACCUCUGAGCACCUGAUUUGGGGGCGAAGCCCCCAGAACCACAUAUGCUUCAUUUUCCUAGUAUCUAACACUAUCUGCUCCAUGCCAGUUCAUUGAACAAAUGAAUCCAUUUGUGGAGAGGGAAUGAUAAUAAUAUUAGCUUCUGUGGCUAGGAGGUUUAAAUGAGAUAAUGAAGCCAAACAGGUUUUGUAACUCAUAAAAUGCUACAAUAUAUUGUAUAUUAUGAUUAAAUGCUAAUCAUACAGCCCAACAAUAGGAGAGCCUGAGGCAGGCAUGGAGGGGUCAUUGUCCACCAGAGACCUGUGGGAAGGCUUCUUAGAGACGGGAGAGGGGCAAAGCUCUGGAGCAUACCUCUCCACUUUUCUCCAUCACGAGCAGCCAAUCGGCAUUUAGCAGACUUCAGCAGGCAGCAGGAAUCCCCUUGCCAAUCUUCAUGGAGAACACGGGUUCUCAUCUGGGAACAAGUCCAUGCUCCAAAGGCCAGAAAUGCUUCCCUCUCGGCCAGAUUCUCUUCAAAUGGCAGAGAGUGACUUUUUCAGCAAAUUGGAUCUAAUAAUAUUCCUGCCAGGACCCCUCCUACCCCCACCUCACACAUUAACAUCCUAGGAAGAAAGGCUCUGGAGCCAUUCAGAAUCUUAUUAUUGCCACUAUAAUUAUUAUAGUUAUGACUAUGACAAUUAUUAUAAGGAAAAUCACCCAAAUGUAGUAAGGCAAAAAAAAAAAAAAAAAAAAAAAGAAGGUGACUUCAUGGCUAUGAACAGAGUUAAAAGGCCAGCAGAUAAACAGAAAUGUCAAUCUCUCUUCUGCCAGGCCACCUCCAAGUGUGUGGGGAAGCUGGGUGUGUAUUGCAGGGGUGCAGGGGAACUGUACUAUGGGAGGAAGAAGGAAACUUCUCCUUCCUGUCCAAUACUUGCCUGUUCUCCUUCCCAAAUGUCUCUGGCAGCUCUCAUUUCCUCUCCAUCCCUUCUUUGACUGCCUGAACUCAGGCCCUCGUCACCUCUUGCCUGUACUAUUGCAAGACCCCCCUCGCCCACCUCCCAGCCUCUGGGCUCACCCAGUCUCUCUAGUGUUGCCCCAAAGGAUCUUUUUCAAAUAGGUGGCAUCAUGACACUCCUCUGUCAAAACCAGGCGAAGCUUCCCACGGAAAAUAUGAGAAUAUAUGUGGAAGUCUUCUGCAUGGCUUGAAAGGCUUCAGACUGGUGCUAUUAUUUGCAUGUUUGUGUCCCUCAGAAAUUCACAAAGUGAAGGUGUUAGGAUGUGGGGCCUUUGGGAGAUGAUAAGAUCAUGAGAGUGGAGCCUAUGGGAAUGAAAUUAGUGUCUCAUAAAAGAGGCCGCAGAGAGGCCCCUCACCCCCCUGCCAUGUGAGGACCCUGCAAUAAAGUGCUUUCUAUAAGUCAGAACACAGGCCCUCACCAGAUAUCCAAUCUGCCUUGAUCUUGGACUUCCUAACCUCCAGAACUAUAAGAAAUAUAUUUCCGUUGUUUAUAAGCCACCCAAUCUAUGGUGUUUUGUUAUAGCAGCGUUGUGUAGCAGCCUAAACAUGCUAAGACAACUGGCCACUGCCUUAUCCUAUGGAGCCCACAGGCAGAAAGACAGAUUCUUGGCUCCUGCACACACAUCACCCAUUCGCAUGGUUUAUGUCCUCAUUUCUCGUAGUCAGUCAAGUUGUUCUCAUAGCCUGGAAGUACCUGCUCAUCCUACCAUCUACCUUUUGAAGUCUUUCAAACCUUGGCUCAGACCACCUGUUUCAAAUAUUUCUCAAUGUUGGAAUUAUCUUCUCCUCAGCCUCUCCUAAGUAUGUUAUUUGCAUUUAAGAUACCCACCCUCAGAUUUGGGCUACUAAGUUCACAUCUCUAGCUCCCUGAGCCUGCAACCCCUGGGUGUCACCUCCUCCUCCAAUAUUUAGCAUUAGUGAAUAGUUGGAGCUGAAUAAAAGCCCGGUGAGUUGAAA
RNAcentral lists this long non-coding RNA (3965 nucleotides) under Homo sapiens (human). RNAcentral's name for it is "HSALNT0035868". Lineage: Eukaryota; Metazoa; Chordata; Mammalia; Primates; Hominidae. The record is from RNAcentral.